This 429-nucleotide ribosomal RNA is filed under the name Actinomycetes bacterium. RNAcentral's name for it is "Actinobacteria bacterium partial 16S ribosomal RNA". It matches the Rfam family "Bacterial small subunit ribosomal RNA", at positions 355 to 776 of the family's 1533-position model. The record is from RNAcentral. Lineage: Bacteria; Bacillati; Actinomycetota; Actinomycetes.
UAGGGAAUCUUCCGCAAUGGGCGAAAGCCUGACGGAGCAACGCCGCGUGAGUGAUGAAGGUCUUCGGAUCGUAAAACUCUGUUAUUAGGGAAGAACAAAUGUGUAAGUAACUAUGCACGUCUUGACGGUACCUAAUCAGAAAGCCACGGCUAACUACGUGCCAGCAGCCGCGGUAAUACGUAGGUGGCAAGCGUUAUCCGGAAUUAUUGGGCGUAAAGCGCGCGUAGGCGGUUUUUUAAGUCUGAUGUGAAAGCCCACGGCUCAACCGUAGAGGGUCAUUGGAAACUGGAAAACUUGAGUGCAGAAGAGGAAAGUGGAAUUCCAUGUGUAGCGGUGAAAUGCGCAGAGAUAUGGAGGAACACCAGUGGCGAAGGCGACUUUCUGGUCUGUAACUGACGCUGAUGUGCGAAAGCGUGGGGAUCAAACAGG